RNAcentral lists this ribosomal RNA (406 nucleotides) under uncultured bacterium. RNAcentral describes it as "partial 16S ribosomal RNA". It matches the Rfam family "Bacterial small subunit ribosomal RNA", at positions 30 to 526 of the family's 1533-position model. The record is from RNAcentral.
AUUGAACGCUGGCGGCAGGCCUAACACAUGCAAGUCGAACGAGUGGCGGACGGGUGAGUAAUGUCUGGGAAACUGCCUGAUGGAGGGGGAUAACUACUGGAAACGGUAGCUAAUACCGCAUACCAUCAGAUGGGCCCAGAUGGGAUUAGCUUGUUGGUGGGGUAACGGCUCACCAAGGCGACGAUCCCUAGCUGGUACGAGAGGAUGACCAGCCACACUGGAACUAAGAAACGGUCCAGACUCCUACGGUAGGCAGGAGUGGGGAAUAUUGCACAAUGGGCGCAAGCCUGAUGCAGCCAUGCCGCGUGUAUGAAGAAGGCCUUCGGGUUGUAAAGUACUUUCAGCGGGGAGGCGUUACCCGCAGAAGAAGCACCGGCUAACUCCGUGCCAGCCGCCGCGGUAAUUC